CCUACGGGAGGCAGCAGUGGGGGAUAUUGCACAAUGGGGGAAACCCUGAUGCAGCGACGCCGCGUGUGGGAAGACGGUCCUCUGGAUUGUAAACCACUGUCCCCAGGGACGAAGAUGACGGUACCGGGGGAGGAAGCGCCGGCCAACUACGUGCCAGCAGCCGCGGUAAGACGUAGGGAGCGAGCGUUGUCCGGAAUUACUGGGUGUAAAGGGAGCGUAGGCGGGGAUGCAAGUUGGGUGUCAAAACUACCGGCUCAACUGGUAGUCGCACUCAAAACUGCAGCUCUUGAGUGAAGUAGAGGCAGGCGGAAUUCCUAGUGUAGCGGUGAACUGCGUAGAUAUUAGGCGGCACCCCAGUGGCGAAGGCGGCCUGCUGGGCUUUUACUGACGCUGAGGCUCG
This 400-nucleotide ribosomal RNA is filed under the name uncultured bacterium. RNAcentral describes it as "partial 16S ribosomal RNA". It matches the Rfam family "Bacterial small subunit ribosomal RNA", at positions 338 to 755 of the family's 1533-position model. The record is from RNAcentral.